This 276-nucleotide ribosomal RNA is filed under the name uncultured prokaryote. RNAcentral's name for it is "partial 16S ribosomal RNA". It matches the Rfam family "Bacterial small subunit ribosomal RNA", at positions 524 to 800 of the family's 1533-position model. The record is from RNAcentral.
CACGUAGGGGCGAGCGUUGUCCGGAAUUACUAGGCGUAAAGGGCAGGCAGGCGGAUCCAUAAGUUUAUCGUUUAAGGCGUCGGCUUAACCGGCGUAGGGCGGUAGAUACUGUGGAUCUGGAAUGCGGUUGGGGAAGACAGAAUUCCUGGUGUAGCGGUGGAAUGCGCAGAGAUCAGGAGGAAUACCGAAGGCGAAGGCAGUCUUCCAAGCCGUUAUUGACGCUCAACUGCGAAGGUGUGGGUAUCAAACAAGAUUAGAUACCCUGGUAAUCCCUGA